UGGAGCAUGUGGUUUAAUUCGAUGCAACGUGAAGAACCGUUACCAGCCCUGGACAUCCUUGGAACUGUCAGAGAUGACAUGUGCCUUCGGGAGCCAAGUGACAGGUGCUGCAUGGCUGUCGUCAGCUCGUGUCGUGAGAUGUUGGGUUAAGUCCCGUAACGAGCGCAACCAUUGUCCUUAGUUGCCAGCGGUUCGGCCGGGAACUCUAAGGAGACUGCUCGGUGAUAAACCGGAGGAAGGUGGGGAUGACGUCAAGUCAUCAUGGCCAUUAUGGGCUGGGUUACACACGUGCUACAAUGGUCGGUACAGAGGGUCGCGAAGCCGCGAGGUGGAGCCAAUCCCAGAAAGCCGAUCGUAGUCCGGAUUGCAGUCUGCAACUCGACUGCAUGAAGUCGGAAUCGCUAGUAAUCGCGAAUCAGCAUGUCGCGGUGAAUACGUUCCCGGGCCUAGUACACACCGCCCGUCACACCAUGGGAGUUGGCUGCACCAGAAGUAGAUAGCUUAACCUUCGGGAGGGCGUUUACCACGGUGUGGUAAUGACUGGGUGAAGUCGUAA
This 556-nucleotide ribosomal RNA is filed under the name uncultured organism. RNAcentral describes it as "bacterial SSU rRNA". It matches the Rfam family "Bacterial small subunit ribosomal RNA", at positions 933 to 1491 of the family's 1533-position model. The record is from RNAcentral.